GACGAACGCUGGCGGCGUGCCUAAUACAUGCAAGUAGAACGCUGAAGAGAGGAGCUUGCUCUUCUUGGAUGAGUUGCGAACGGGUGAGUAACGCGUAGGUAACCUGCCUGGUAGCGGGGGAUAACUAUUGGAAACGAUAGCUAAUACCGCAUAAAAUUGAUUAUUGCAUGAUAAUUAAUUGAAAGAUGCAAUUGCAUCACUACCAGAUGGACCUGCGUUGUAUUAGCUAGUUGGUGAGGUAACGGCUCACCAAGGCGACGAUACAUAGCCGACCUGAGAGGGUGAUCGGCCACACUGGGACUGAGACACGGCCCAGACUCCUACGGGAGGCAGCAGUAGGGAAUCUUCGGCAAUGGGGGGAACCCUGACCGAGCAACGCCGCGUGAGUGAAGAAGGUUUUCGGAUCGUAAAGCUCUGUUGUAAGAGAAGAACGGGUGUGAGAGUGGAAAGUUCACACUGUGACGGUAUCUUACCAGAAAGGGACGGCUAACUACGUGCCAGCAGCCGCGGUAAUACGUAGGUCCCGAGCGUUGUCCGGAUUUAUUGGGCGUAAAGCGAGCGCAGGCGGUUAGAUAAGUCUGAAGUUAAAGGCUGUGGCUUAACCAUAGUAUGCUUUGGAAACUGUUUAACUUGAGUGCAGAAGGGGAGAGUGGAAUUCCAUGUGUAGCGGUGAAAUGCGUAGAUAUAUGGAGGAACACCGGUGGCGAAAGCGGCUCUCUGGUCUGUAACUGACGCUGAGGCUCGAAAGCGUGGGGAGCAAACAGGAUUAGAUACCCUGGUAGUCCACGCCGUAAACGAUGAGUGCUAGGUGUUAGGCCCUUUCCGGGGCUUAGUGCCGCAGCUAACGCAUUAAGCACUCCGCCUGGGGAGUACGACCGCAAGGUUGAAACUCAAAGGAAUUGACGGGGGCCCGCACAAGCGGUGGAGCAUGUGGUUUAAUUCGAAGCAACGCGAAGAACCUUACCAGGUCUUGACAUCCCUCUGACCGCUCUAGAGAUAGAGUUUUCCUUCGGGACAGAGGUGACAGGUGGUGCAUGGUUGUCGUCAGCUCGUGUCGUGAGAUGUUGGGUUAAGCCCCGCAACGAGCGCAACCCCUAUUGUUAGUUGCCAUCAUUCAGUUGGGCACUCUAGCGAGACUGCCGGUAAUAAACCGGAGGAAGGUGGGGAUGACGUCAAAUCAUCAUGCCCCUUAUGACCUGGGCUACACACGUGCUACAAUGGCUGGUACAACGAGUCGCAAGCCGGUGACGGCAAGCUAAUCUCUGAAAGCCAGUCUCAGUUCGGAUUGUAGGCUGCAACUCGCCUACAUGAAGUCGGAAUCGCUAGUAAUCGCGGAUCAGCACGCCGCGGUGAAUACGUUCCCGGGCCU
Molecule: ribosomal RNA, 1369 nt
Filed under: uncultured bacterium
Lineage: Bacteria
Description: bacterial SSU rRNA
Rfam family: Bacterial small subunit ribosomal RNA
Source: RNAcentral